CCUACGGGAGGCAGCAGUGAGGAAUAUUGGUCAAUGGACGAGAGUCUGAACCAGCCAAGUAGCGUGAAGGAUGACUGCCCUAUGGGUUGUAAACUUCUUUUAUAUGGGAAUAAAAUGUUCCCCGUGUGGGAUUUUGUAUGUACCAUAUGAAUAAGGAUCGGCUAACUACGUGCCAGCAGCCGCGGUAAUACGGAGGAUCCGAGCGUUAUCCGGAUUUAUUGGGUUUAAAGGGAGCGUAGGUGGAUUGUUAAGUCAGUUGUGAAAGUUUGCGGCUCAACCGUAAAAUUGCAGUUGAAACUGGCAGUCUUGAGUACAGUAGAGGUGGGCGGAAUUCGUGGUGUAGCGGUGAAAUGCUUAGAUAUCACGAAGAACUCCGAUUGCGAAGGCAGUUCACUGGACUGCAACUGACACUGAGGCUCGAAAGUGUGGGUAUCAAACAGGAUUAGAUACCCGAGUAGUC
RNAcentral lists this ribosomal RNA (460 nucleotides) under uncultured bacterium. RNAcentral's name for it is "partial 16S ribosomal RNA". It matches the Rfam family "Bacterial small subunit ribosomal RNA", at positions 338 to 795 of the family's 1533-position model. The record is from RNAcentral.